GAUGAACGCUGGCGGCGUGCCUAAUACAUGCAAGUCGAACGAACAGACGAGGAGCUUGCUCCUCUGACGUUAGCGGCGGACGAGUGAGUAACACGUGGAUAACCUACCUAUAAGACUGGGAUAACUUCGGGAAACCGGAGCUAAUACCGGAUAAUAUAUUGAACCGCAUGGUUCAAUAGUGAAAGACGGUUUUGCUGUCACUUAUAGAUGGAUCCGCGCCGCAUUAGCUAGUUGGUAAGGUAACGGCUUACCAAGGCAACGAUGCGUAGCCGACCUGAGAGGGUGAUCGGCCACACUGGAACUGAGACACGGUCCAGACUCCUACGGGAGGCAGCAGUAGGGAAUCUUCCGCAAUGGGCGAAAGCCUGACGGAGCAACGCCGCGUGAGUGAUGAAGGUCUUCGGAUCGUAAAACUCUGUUAUUAGGGAAGAACAAAUGUGUAAGUAACUAUGCACGUCUUGACGGUACCUAAUCAGAAAGCCACGGCUAACUACGUG
RNAcentral lists this ribosomal RNA (497 nucleotides) under uncultured bacterium. RNAcentral describes it as "partial 16S ribosomal RNA". It matches the Rfam family "Bacterial small subunit ribosomal RNA", at positions 28 to 507 of the family's 1533-position model. The record is from RNAcentral.